AAAUUAUUUGAUUGGAUUUAUCUUUAUAAAAUAGUCCAACUGAAUGCUGAAGAGAGCUAGAAUAUGGUCACUGGAAACAGAAAAAAUCCGGUUUUCUCCCCAUCUGUUUAACCAUGCUCUUAUGCCCUUUUUCUUUUCUUUUUAGUUCCAAGGCACGUUGAUCGUACCUAUACAUCUCACCAAGAACAUGGAUGCUUCUCUGCUAUCAGCUGAAGCUGCUGUGACCCCAAAACUAAAAAAUCGCAUUCUGAAUCCUUGCCAAUAAAGAAUGGCCAUCAGAACACGCCCAGUAUCCUAUCUCCUCAUCCAGACAGUGUUUCUCAAUAUGACUAGGAAGAUUUCAACUCCAGUUGCUUCUGAAACUAAGGUAAGACAGCUUUGGGAGAAAGCAAGUUCUGUUUGUGGCAUAAAAGGGAGAGAAUAAGUUUGGGUACAUCAAAUACUUCUGACGUCUCCUUUACAUCUGAACUUAUGAAAAUGUGAGAAAAUACAUUUCCCUGUUGCUCAAGCCAAUUUGAGACAAGAUUUAUGUAUGUUUGUUUGGCUUUUUUCAGCACAAGUCCUUUAUCUGGUACAAAUGGGUUGGAGAGAUUAUUAAUUGUAAUUGUUGUUCCUAUAAGAGAUGCUGAAAUAAUAAAUUAGAAAGCAAGGAGUAUGAAAAGAUUAUCUGGAGAAGGGGAUAAAGUGGAGGUGGGUUCAAAAGGCACCUGUGUCUCAAGAACUUUAGCAACAGUUGGCCAGUAUACUUUCACGGUUGCAGUGGCUGGGGAAAGGGUAAGCAUAUGAAUGUUUUGGUUGAGGGUGGACAAGACAUGCAAGUAACUUUUAUUGAGAACUUAGGUUCUUGGCACUGUUUCCAUUUCAGAUAUAUUACUACAAUUUGCCUCUCAACUGUACUAAGAAAUAGAUAUUUAAAGAGAUAGAAACCUGAUAUGGAGAUAGUAAUAGUCCCACAAUUACUCAGUAUAGAACUCCUCUGCCAGCCACAGUACCUCGAAGUCCCUCACCAUUUAUAGCAUAGUUUAAUAAUUUAAGAAGUUAGAAAAGUACAGAAUACAUGUUUUAAAGGGGUCCAUCAAGAUAAUGUAUUGUCGUGUCCUAACUCUAAGGAACGUUUGCUAAUUCAGAAUAGAUUCAGAAAAAAUCAUUUCUGAAGGCUUCAGGUUAUUUGUGCUAGUUGUUUCAAUGUACUUAUAGCAGAACACCCCAGAGAUUUUAAAUACUUAUCUCAGGACUGAGGAACAACUCAGAUACCUGAAAGAUCUCAUCACGAAGACCUGUACAUGUUAAUGCUUGGUAGCUCUGGGAAGUCUUCUUACGUGACCAAUGAAUGCCACAAAGCCAGGUGAAAAAGAUCUCAGAGGGCUCUGGUGCUUGACGUGUUUCUCUAAGUUUUGCUGAAAUAAUUUAAAGAUAGAUGAAGUGGGAGAAUUUAGAGAUUAUUACUUAUAUGACAUUGUAAUUUCUCCCCUUUGCCAGUAUCCUCCUCCUCUUCAAAGCAAAGGCUUUUGAAAAUGAGUGAAUAAAAAUUGAUUAUAUAAGGUUCUGGGGAAGGAGGGUUAAGAUGGUAUGGUUUGCAUUUUGCAUCACUUUUCCCCUGCAGAAUCAUUUUCUUUACUUCUAGGAAUCUGGGAAUGUGAUCCUAGAACAACACAGAUUUGAACUGUGAUCCUACUUACAUGCAGAUUUUUUUUUUUUCUAAGUGAUACCCCGUAUGCCUGCCCCUCCUGCCGCCUUUUCCGCCACCUCUGUAUCUUCUGCCUUUGCAACCUGAGGCAGUAAGACCAAAGCGUCCUCUUCCUUCUCCUCCUUAGCCUGUGCAAUGGAAAGAUGAGGAUAAAGACCUUUCUGAUGAUCCACUUCCACUUAAUAGUAAAUAUAUUUUAUCUGCCUUAGGAUUUAAAAAAUACUGUUUUCCUUUUUCUAGCUUGCUUUAUUGUAUGACCACAGUAUACAAUACAUACACAAAU
RNAcentral lists this long non-coding RNA (1970 nucleotides) under Callithrix jacchus (white-tufted-ear marmoset). RNAcentral's name for it is "lncRNA (ENSCJAG00000075840.1)". The record is from RNAcentral. Lineage: Eukaryota; Metazoa; Chordata; Mammalia; Primates; Cebidae.